AUGCAGUCCGACGGUGAACACGGAGCUUGCUCCUGUGGGAUCAGUGGCGAACGGGUGAGUAACACGUGAGCAACCUGCCCCUGACUCUGGGAUAAGCGCUGGAAACGGCGUCUAAUACUGGAUAUGUGACGUGAUCGCAUGGUCUGCGUCUGGAAAGAAUUUCGGUUGGGGAUGGGCUCGCGGCCUAUCAGCUUGUUGGUGAGGUAAUGGCUCACCAAGGCGUCGACGGGUAGCCGGCCUGAGAGGGUGACCGGCCACACUGGGACUGAGACACGGCCCAGACUCCUACGGGAGGCAGCAGUGGGGAAUAUUGCACAAUGGGCGCAAGCCUGAUGCAGCAACGCCGCGUGAGGGACGACGGCCUUCGGGUUGUAAACCUCUUUUAGCAGGGAAGAAGCGAAAGUGACGGUACCUGCAGAAAAAGCGCCGGCUAACUACGUGCCAGCAGCCGCGGUAAUACGUAGGGCGCAAGCGUUAUCCGGAAUUAUUGGGCGUAAAGAGCUCGUAGGCGGUUUGUCGCGUCUGCUGUGAAAUCCGGAGGCUCAACCUCCGGCCUGCAGUGGGUACGGGCAGACUAGAGUGCGGUAGGGGGAGAUUGGAAUUCCUGGUGUAGCGGUGGAAUGCGCAGAUAUCAGGAGGAACACCGAUGGCGAAGGCAGAUCUCUGGGCCGUAACUGAC
Molecule: ribosomal RNA, 679 nt
Filed under: Microbacterium maritypicum
Lineage: Bacteria; Bacillati; Actinomycetota; Actinomycetes; Micrococcales; Microbacteriaceae
Description: bacterial SSU rRNA
Rfam family: Bacterial small subunit ribosomal RNA
Source: RNAcentral